Long non-coding RNA from Musa acuminata AAA Group (dessert banana), 2446 nucleotides. RefSeq lists it as uncharacterized. The transcript is spliced from 3 exons. The record is from RefSeq and is a predicted model, not a curated record. NCBI's taxonomy places the organism in Eukaryota, Viridiplantae, Streptophyta, Magnoliopsida, Zingiberales, Musaceae.
CUCUCGCGUUCGAUGAUUUGCUGCUUCAAUAUUAUGUUGUAUCGAGUUUCUCAAUAAAGAUCGGAGUUUGAUCGGAAGACCGAAGGAAAUGGUGUAUCCCAAUCGAGCGCAUUUGGUACUUCGUGACGUGAAAGGAGAACAAACAAAAUCCUUUCAGUGAGAAGCUUGUGUUGCUUAUGGGAUCACCAGUGCUCCCUUUGGAUUGAGGCUGCCAUGAAGCUGCAUGUAGGGAAGUAAUUAUUGUAGAUGUGCAUAGGUGGGAAGGGCUCCCGUGGAGAUUACUGGUAAUAGAGCAGCCAUUGACUUUGCCUACCGAUCCUGACAACGCGAUCUUACUUUUGGAGGAUUAGCCUCCUUAGCACAGCAUUUUCAGUACUGAUUCUUGGAACUACAAAAUUAGACAAAAAGUAUCAAGCAAAAUGGUGGGUAUUUUGGUAUGCUUGGGUAUGAAACUUUUAACAUCUAGGAAAUUGACGAUUACAAUUAAGUCACAGUGUGAUUGUAGUGAGACGACUGGAAGUAUGGUGGUUUAGCAUUACUUCUAUCAUAUAUAGUUAGCACAACAUGUAUGUUGAACUUUAUGUGUAUCGAUCUUCUUUAUAGUAAAUUGUAAUGACUAUGUACUCUUUUGUAGCAGCAUUUCUAAUCUUCAUGUGUACCUGGGGCUUGCUUAAUUAUCUUAAUCAAAACAGAGUUUUUUUAAUCUAUUCCGACACUCAGAUUAGAAGUCUCAAGAAGCUGAUGCCUUGUGACAUAUAAUGUGAUGAAUUGGAUGCGCGGGUGCAUUGAUGCAUGGAAGUUGUUUCCAUAGGCCUUUAACAAAUUAACUUGUCGUUAGUCCUAAAGCAGUAUAUGGUAUGCUGUGAAUUGUCAGUGGCCUUGGGGCAUCGACAAUUUGAUAUCAAUUUUUUAUGUGAUUUUGACACGUACCAUUCUUAUCCAAACGAAAGGGCAUACAAGAACCUCUUGGAAGGAAAGACCCCCGUAAGGGGAUAAUGACUUCACUCAUGCUUAAGUUGCAUGUCACUGUUUCACACUUUUCUUUAGGAAUGUUUCACACUAAGAUCCGGUAAGUCCUGAUGUACCUUGAAGGAACCCAUGAGGAACACUGAAGGCCUUUUCUACAAAACUAGGAAUGCGGAUUUACUUUUGGUGUAACUGUCAGUGGUUUUUUCAGUACCUUCUAUCAUUUAUUAUUUGUCUAUAGAAUUCAUCACAGACCACAAAUAAAGUCUCUUCGGAUACUUUUCUUUCUAAUCAGUCCAAUUCAUCAUAUGUUGCACUUGGUGAUGGCUAUAAUCUUGAUCAUUAUAACCGCUCAUCAUUUUUACAUCACAGCAGAAGUGAAAGAUGAAAACCUGUUGGACUACUACUUGCAAAAUAGCAUUUUGACAAAGUUGAUGAAGCGUUGUUCACAUUGCUGGUUGGCACGUGCACAUCGCAACAAGAGUAGCAUGAAAACCUGUUGGACUACCUGCAAAGCACCAUUUUAGCACACUCGAUAAUGUCAUGGUUUAAAAUAUCAGUUGUACUGGCAUGUUCCUGUUGGUAGUUACCAGUCUGAUCGAGCAUAGGGAAGAAAAGGAAACAAGGAUAAGUAUCUUCUUGGCAAUGAGGAGUGGGAAAAAGUUUCAUGGCUUGCUGUCACCCGUGAAAGGGAAUUCGGUGGGCCGGACUGCCCUUACAACUGGAACUCUUGUGGAUGCUGAACCAACUAAUCAAACCACUUCAUUACACCUCCCCUUUUCUGUCUCACCCAACAUGGGUGACUCCUGCAUCUAAAACCAUUCAUGCUUGCUAACAAAGCCAACAUCACUUCUUACAUGCUCAUGACCAUCCCUCUCAUUUUCUUCCCCUCCUAGUCCAUGCUGUAUUCCUCUCUCUCCUCUUUCAUUCAUGAAGCGCUUCAUUAGAGACCAAUCGAUGGAUAGGUUCAUCAUCCUCCCGUUCUAUUGUUCCUUUUGGUUUGUAUUGUGAAACCCUGUAAGCCUAAUCAUCGCCCUUGGUGUGAUAGUUGUGUUGAAGGUGGAGAUGGUGAGAUUCAAUCCACCGGAAAGCUCAAGAACUCAUUCACUGCAGGGUUUGAGAAGCUGAUCAAGAGCUUGUCCCAGUAUUUUGUGCUUUACCAGGGAGAGGACAAAGAGGUGGGGAUGGAGAUUGGAUUUCUCACUGAUGUGGAGCAUGCUGCUCCUAUAGGUCGUGAAGGAUUCGACUCUCCAGAGUUCCUUUCCUUUUCAUUGAAGCAGUUUGAGCUGGCCAUGGUAGCACAUGUUGGUGCCUCUCCACCUCAUGGUCCCCAUGAGGUGCUUCUCACUUGAACACCUUCUUGGGUUCUUGUGUUUCUCGCAAUCUGUUGCUUGUGGUGAUAGAGAGGGGAAGCAUGUGAACUUGUAUAGCUUUCUGUGACAUGAGAAUCUAUCGACAUUUUCUGGUUCCUUUUGUCUCA